Molecule: ribosomal RNA, 362 nt
Filed under: uncultured organism
Description: bacterial SSU rRNA
Rfam family: Bacterial small subunit ribosomal RNA
Source: RNAcentral
GUAGGGUGCAAGCGUUGUCCGGAAUUACUGGGCGUAAAGAGUUCGUAGGCGGUUUGUCGCGUCGUUUGUGAAAACUCACAGCUCAACUGUGAGCCUGCAGGCGAUACGGGCAGACUUGAGUACUGCAGGGGAGACUGGAAUUCCUGGUGUAGCGGUGAAAUGCGCAGAUAUCAGGAGGAACACCGGUGGCGAAGGCGGGUCUCUGGGCAGUAACUGACGCUGAGGAACGAAAGCGUGGGUAGCAAACAGGAUUAGAUACCCUGGUAGUCCACGCCGUAAACGGUGGGCGCUAGGUGUGGGUUCCCUCCACGGGAUCUGUGCCGUAGCUAACGCAUUAAGCGCCCCGCCUGGGGAGUACGGCC